This is a long non-coding RNA of Haliotis rubra (blacklip abalone), 208 nucleotides long. RefSeq lists it as uncharacterized. The transcript has 2 exons. The record is from RefSeq and is a predicted model, not a curated record. NCBI's taxonomy places the organism in Eukaryota, Metazoa, Mollusca, Gastropoda, Lepetellida, Haliotidae.
GUCGUUAGUGUUGAUCAAGUCGUGCCAGACCUUUCUUGAGAGGGGAGGGAUGUGAGGUUGUUCCCGGUAUUUGGACAGCAUCGCAUGAACGCAACCAUCAACAAUAGCGUGCGCCUGCACGUGGACUUGUCAGCUGUGUCGUGUGAUUGUUUCUCGAUUGUAGUCAGUCUCGUCUUUGUCUUCGUCAAGUAAACGUCUGUUAUUUGUA